AGGCUCUGCAGUGAAGGAAGGGAAUUAUCAGGAUGACAGGCCUUACUGGAUCCUCAUCAACAUCUUCUACUAUGUCCUGAAGAUUGAUAUUGGAAAAGCAGUUUCCCAUUGAAUCUCAAGUGAAGAGAGAGUGAAGAUGAAAAGGAAGUAGGAUUCACAAGCCCUUGACCCUCAUACUAGACCCAUUACCACCAACAGUACCUUGCACUGGGAUUUCAUCUGCACCAUCAGCUUCUUCAAAGAGAGAGAGGUUGUUGAACUCUGUAUUGAACCAAGGUGCUCUACACAGUAGCCGCAGCUGAGCUCCCAGCAGAUGCCAGCAUCAGUCAUCAUCCA
This 336-nucleotide long non-coding RNA is filed under the name Saimiri boliviensis boliviensis (Bolivian squirrel monkey). RNAcentral describes it as "lncRNA (ENSSBOG00000036681.1)". The record is from RNAcentral. Lineage: Eukaryota; Metazoa; Chordata; Mammalia; Primates; Cebidae.